Molecule: non-coding RNA, 3869 nt
Organism: Ictidomys tridecemlineatus (thirteen-lined ground squirrel)
Lineage: Eukaryota; Metazoa; Chordata; Mammalia; Rodentia; Sciuridae
Source: RefSeq, a predicted model, not a curated record
AUAUCUUGUUGACCACACCCUGGAGGUGCAGGAAGUGCUUCUUCAUCCCAUGGGUUGUCUCUGCUAAAGUUAAUACCCUCCCUAAUGCUGACUCAAACUGCUCAAAAUUUUUUAAAUGUCGACUAUCUGCAAAGCACGAUGCCAGGAGGGGAGGCCAUGGGUACAUCGUGUAAGGAGCACUCUGCUUUGUGGGAACCUAGCUAACCUUUCUGAGUCUCCAUUUAGGGAACAGUCCUGCCUACCCAACUGCAUGCUGAUAAAGGAAAUGAACUGUCCAUGUAAAGCGAGGUAUAAUUAGGGAGAAUGGCAGUCUCUCAAACGUAAAUUCGUCUUGGUUCUCUUAACAAACGUUGACAAGUGCUUAUCGAAUACCGACUACUGUGUGUUCAGUACAAUGGGGCUUGAAGAGGGAUGAUAGUAUUAUUUUUCCGUUUUACAGGUUGAUAUAGGAACAGAAGUUGAUUUAAACUUUUUCACAUUUCCUUGCAACUAGGAUACUUUGAUAAAGGAAAAGAGAUUGAGUCCACAACUUAUUGCUGGUUUAUUCUGCAUUGUUUGCAUGGAGGGGUCGGCUAAUCGGGAAAGGGGUACCUGAGACACGGCAGUGGGGCCCGCCAUGGGUUUAGGAGUCAGUAAAUUUAAGUUUGUUUAAUGUGUAUUUUCACUGCUUCAGACUUCGACUUAGAGGAGAAUGCAAACUGAUAAUACAGGGAAUUUGGGGAAGUUGGUCUUUUUCUUUCUCAAUACAAAAAGGACUUCAAACUACCACUGGAUUAGUGCCCAAGUGGAAGAAUUUCCAGUCAUCAGCUAAUGCAGCAGGAUCCCUUCCAUUCUUCUCCCCCAAUACACACCACCUUGUUUUUUGUGGUAGGACAUUUUACCUAUCUUAGCGGUACCCUCCCAAGUGCUGUUCUGAAAUAAAAGUGAAAUCCCCUUUGUUGCCAUUCAUGGAAUGACCACAGCUUUCUGUGAUCGGGUUUUCUAUAGCAAACUCUACUCUUUGUUUACCCUGUCACCCAAACAGAACCUUAACAUUCUAGGUUAAUUUAAAAAAAAAAAAAUUUUUUUGAACUUUUUCACAUUUCCUUGCAUCUAGGAGCAACCAUAUGACACAGGUCAAGCAAAGGAAAUGAAAUUUGAAGUUACUACUGGGGUUCCCAGGAAAGUUUUUAGGACAAGCUCCAUAGAGCAGAACUCAUCCUUAUCCUACAUUUGUCUUUUGAAGAUGGAUUUGAUUAGGAGGAUAAUGAAGCACCUGACUCCGAAGAGGAAGAGGAUAAGGAUGGAGAUGAAGAUGAUGGAGAUGAAGAGGAAUAUUUAGCUGGUCCACCUGAAGUAUAUGAGGAAGAGGAGGAGGAAGAUGAAGAUGAAGCAGGAUCAGAAUUGGGAGAGGGAGAAGAAGAAGUGGGCCUUUCUUACUUGAUGAAAGAAGAAAUUUAGGAUGAAGAAGAGAAGAUGAUGAUGAUGUUGAAGAUGGGGAAGAAGAGGAGGAAGAGGAAGAAGAAGUUCUGGGGGGGGAGGAAGAAGAUGACUAGAUCAUUCUAAUACCAGGUUCCUCAGCAUUUCUGGGUGUGUAAUAGAGUGAUUACAUCUUUGUUUUUUUUAUGUACAAUAGCUAUCCCAACAUAAGACAAUGUAUAACUUUUUAUAGAAAAGUGUGCUUUUACUAGUUUUGCCUUAUCAUUCCAGUUAAGAUUUACUAGUCUGUUAAUGAUCAUUGUAUGUGGAGAAAAAAUUUCAUUGACACUCCCCCCUAUUAAGAUAUUCUCUAGCAAUUAUAUUUAGAAGCUUAAUUUUUCUAGUUCAAGUUCAUUGUAUUAGUAAUUUUUAGUCCAUAAUUAAAACAUGAUUGCUUUUACACAGGUGAAGUUUGGUGCAUUUCAUUCAUAAGAUUUUAAAGUUAUUUAUAAAUUAACUGAAAUUACAGUCAUCUGUAAUAUGAAAUGACAGUAGUCUCCUGAAUAAGUUGAUUAUUAUUUUUUUUAGAGAUGAUCCAGGGAUCUUUAUUUUGAAGGCAUUGACUUUUUUUUAAAAUAGCUAAGGAUAUUCGGGUGUUUUUUUUUUUUUUUUUGUCUCAUGAAUUAAGUUGGAAAGUAGAAGCAGAAUAAUAAAGGUUCUAUUCAGCAAUAUAGUUUGUGUAUUUGGAGGAGGUUCUAACCAGUAAUAUAAUUCAUGGAUUUUGUGGUGAUUGAUAAGAUUUUAUUUUUGAAGGAAAAAUUGCCUAUACUAAGUGAGACACACAGGUGAAUCUGAUCUUUAGGCUGCAGAUCAUGACAUGCCAAUGGUUGUUUAUUUUUGUUUUAGAUAUGCAUUUGUUUUCCUCUCAUCAAUUUCUUUAUGAUCACCUUCCCUUCUUGUUGACUCCCAUUUCUCUAUCCCAAAAGAAAGCUGGGAACUUCUGUAUACCCAGAAAACCUUAUGAAAGUCUUAUACUUCAACCACCUUUUCAGAUCUUUCUGGGUUUUAAACAGAGUGGAAGAAACUGAGAUUUUUCUGAGAUACAAAUAUUGUUAUUGAUAGAAUUUUAGGCAGCAAGCUCUGCUUAUUGUAAAUCUUUCUUGACUGACAACACUUAAGACCAUAUAAGUAGGAUGAAGAAAGUAAAGGACCAGGGGAGGGUUCUUGAAUUAGCAUCAUGUUCAUUGCCUGUUGAUAAUUAAUGAGACAUUUAAGUCAAUUUUUAAGUUGACAUCCCAAAUUAUUUGGAUACCAACCCUGCGCAGUUUUAAAAAUUUUUCUUGGUGGACCCUUUAGUUGUUCCUAUAAUUUUAAAGCAUUACCAGAUUUAGUAUUUAAUUGGAAUAUUGUAGGCAGUUGGAAAAAUAUUUGGGAUUAAAUAUUAAAAUUAAGACUUAUUUUCAAGUGAAUGUCCAUUAAAAUAGAAGAAUAUUUGGGAUAAGUAUGAGUAUGUGCUUACUUACAUGGUUACUAAAUAAAAUAUAAUGAAUAGACAAGUACAUCUCUGUUUUUGUCAUGGAGGCUCCAUGUUCAUGGUAAUUGCUUUGUUCUUCUUGAUUUCUUCUUCUUUUUCUUUGUUUUGAAUAUUUAUAAAGUUUUUAAAAGUUGGUGUCAGGAAACUAAUUGAAGCUAUUCUCUGCUGGGACAUAUCUAAAUUAUGAGUGUAGUACUGCUGCUGCUUGUUUUUUUUUAAGUUUAAAAUAUAUGACUUGGCAUUUUAAAGGUUAUUUGUGGAGAAACUAAAACAGUUGCACAACUGACUGAAAUAAAAUGCUUGGAAUAAAUUUAGUAGGGGAAUCAGAAAAUACAAAAGAUUAACUUUUUCUCUCCUAAUUUUUUAACAAUUGAUAUGCCCUGCUUUUCUAAGAAUUUUCAUUCCAUACUAUGCCCAGAUUAUAAAAUACUUAUUUUUAAAAUGGAAUGUAUAUGUUGACUUUCUUAUCAAUCAUCUUAUUGUGUGAUCAAAAUUAGAGUUCUUUGGUUUGAAAACAACACAUAGUGAACCUCCAGAUAACUUUUAAGAACUUAUUUAGCUUUGUGGGUGGUAUUUUCAUGCAAAUAAGUUAGGGAGGGGUUAUAUUUUGUAGAAGUUUGGGGUCCUAUUUUAAUGCUUUUUGUAUUGCAGUAUGUACAUAGUGUGUUAAGUUCUUUAAGAAUCUCUCCUUAAACUUUGAGGUUAAUACUUUUGUGCAACUGUGUUUUUGAAUAAAGCCAUUACAGUGUUAAGAACAACAACAACAACAAAAAAAAAGAUUUAUAAUAGUAAUAAAUGUACCUAAAUAGUAUUAACUAUGCAAUUCAUGGAAACUAUUUUAUUAACUCAGGGUAAUUUCUGCCCACUUGGGUAGCUAUCUUCGUUAACAAGGUAAAUGAGAAAAUUACUUAUAAAUAAUAAAACGUGAUUUCCAGUG